This 244-nucleotide ribosomal RNA is filed under the name uncultured bacterium. RNAcentral describes it as "partial 16S ribosomal RNA". It matches the Rfam family "Bacterial small subunit ribosomal RNA", at positions 90 to 334 of the family's 1533-position model. The record is from RNAcentral.
ACUGAGCGGCGGACGGGUGAGUAACGCGUGGGUAACCUGCCUCAUACAGGGGGAUAACAGUUGGAAACGGCUGCUAAUACCGCAUAAGCGCACGGUACCGCAUGGUACGGUGUGAAAAACUCCGGUGGUAUGAGAUGGACCCGCGUCUGAUUAGGUAGUUGGUGGGGUAACGGCCUACCAAGCCGACGAUCAGUAGCCGACCUGAGAGGGUGACCGGCCACAUUGGGACUGAGACACGGCCCAA